GAUGAACGCUGGCGGCGUGCCUAAUACAUGCAAGUCGAGCGAACAGACGAGGAGCUUGCUCCUCUGACGUUAGCGGCGGACGGGUGAGUAACACGUGGAUAACCUACCUAUAAGACUGGGAUAACUUCGGGAAACCGGAGCUAAUACCGGAUAAUAUAUUGAACCGCAUGGUUCAAUAGUGAAAGACGGUUUUGCUGUCACUUAUAGAUGGAUCCGCGCCGCAUUAGCUAGUUGGUAAGGUAACGGCUUACCAAGGCAACGAUGCGUAGCCGACCUGAGAGGGUGAUCGGCCACACUGGAACUGAGACACGGUCCAGACGCCUACGGGAGGCAGCAGUAGGGAAUCUUCCGCAAUGGGCGAAAGCUUGGCGGAGCAACGCCGCGUGAGUGAUGAAGGUCUUCGGAUCGUAAAACUCUGUUAUUAGGGAAGAACAAAUGUGUAAGUAACUAUGCACGUCUUGACGGUACCUAAUCAGAAAGCCACGGCUAACUACGUG
This 497-nucleotide ribosomal RNA is filed under the name uncultured bacterium. RNAcentral describes it as "partial 16S ribosomal RNA". It matches the Rfam family "Bacterial small subunit ribosomal RNA", at positions 28 to 507 of the family's 1533-position model. The record is from RNAcentral.